Molecule: RNA transcript, 3448 nt
Organism: Prionailurus viverrinus (fishing cat)
Lineage: Eukaryota; Metazoa; Chordata; Mammalia; Carnivora; Felidae
Gene: SLC44A3
Gene name: solute carrier family 44 member 3
Exons: 16
Source: RefSeq, a predicted model, not a curated record
CUUCGCAGAGGCGCUAAUUAGGACGCGCGCUAAUUAGGACGCGCGCAGGAUCGUGGCUGAGCCGGGGCCUGCGCUGGAGCAGCCGCGAACUCCGCGCUUCGGUCGGCGAGAUGGGCAUCCCGGGAACCACCACCGCGCAGGUGGUGGACGCCGAGGGCCUGGGAACACGGCGGCCCUCCCGCUAACAGGUGACUGACCCGGGCGGGCCCGGAGCCGCUCCGGUGACACCGAGGGCCAAGCUCGAGGCUCGCGGAGGCGGCCGCGGGGCGGCGCUGCGCCCCUUCCGGCCGCUGGGCCCUCUGGCCGCAGGCUCCUCUGCCGCGGGGCGCUUCGUGGGCUCCCAGUCUUCGGCCCGGCGCCGCAGCACAGGAUGCAGUGUCCCGGCGCCGAGUACCUGGUUUCUGCAGAGAGAACCCCCCGGAAAAGAGAGUGGAGACCUCAGAUUUAUAGGAAGUGCACAGAUACAACAUGGCUGUUCCUCUUCUUUCUCUUUUGGACUGGUUUGCUGUUCAUCAUGGGCUACUCGAUGGUGGCGGGAGCCACGGGAAGACUCCUCUUUGGCUAUGACAGCUUUGGCAACGUGUGUGGCAAGAAGAACUCCCCUGUAGAAGGGGCCCCUCUUUCAGGGCAGGACAUGACCCUGAAAAGACACGUAUUCUUUAUGAAUUCCUGCAACUCGGAAGUCAAGGACGUGAGGCUCAGUUCCACCAUCCUGUGCGUGUCGAGCUGUCCUGAAGAGCAGCUUGAUACCCUGGAAGAGGUCCAGCUCUUUGCAGACAAGAAUGGGUCCUUCCUGUGUGUUUACAGUUUGAAUUCCAUCAACUACACCCAGAAUCCAAAUGCAGACUCAUUGUGUCCCAGGCUGCCCGUUCCUCCGAGCAAGUCUUUCCCCUUGUUUAACAGAUGCGUCCCUCAAACACCCGAGUGCUAUUCCUUGUUUGCAUCUGUUUUGAUAAAUGAUGUUGACACCCUCCAUCAAAUUCUAAGUGGAAUAAUGUCCGGAAGAGACACAAUCCUUGGUCUGUGUAUCCUCGCAUUAGCCUUGUCUUUGGCCAUGAUGUUCACCUUCUGGUUCAUCACCACCCUUCUGGUUCACAUUUUCAUUGCACUGACUGUUUCUGGACUGCUGUUUGUCUGUGGUGUCUUAUGGUGGCUGUAUUACGACUAUACCCAUGACCUCAGCAUAGAAUUGGACACAGAAAGGGAAAAUAUGAAGUGUUUGCUGGGGUUUGCUCUUGUAUCUACAGUAAUCACGGCAGUUCUGCUCAGCUUGAUUUUUGUCUUCAGAAAGAGAAUAAAAUUGACAGUCGAACUUUUCCAAGUCAUAAAUAAAGCCAUCAGCAACUCUCCAUUCCUGCUGUUCCAACCACUAUGGACUUUUGCCAUCCUCAUUUUCUUCUGGGUCCUCUGGGUGGCCGUGCUGCUGAGCCUGGGAACUGCAGGAGCUGCACAGGUUAUUGAAGGUGGCCAAGUGGAAUAUAAGCCUAUUUUAGGCAUUCGGUAUAUGUGGUGGUACCAUUUGAUUGGCCUCAUCUGGACUAGCGAAUUCAUCCUUGCGUGCCAGCAAAUGACUGUAGCCGGCGCACUUGUUACUUGCUAUUUCAACAGAAAUAAAAAUGACCCUCCUGAUCGCCCAAUCCUUUGGUCUCUCUCCACUCUUUUCUGCUACCAUCAAGGAACAGCCAUAAAAGGGUCAUUUUUAAUCACUGUGGCAAGGAUUCCAAGAACCAUUCUCAAGUACAUUUACAACACUCUGAAAGACAAGCAUAAUGCAUGGUCGACGUACAUGUUCAGAUGCUGCUUCUGCUGUUUCUGGUGUCUUGACAAAUGCCUGUGCCAUCUCAACCAGAAUGCGUAUGCUGCAACUGCCAUUAAUGGGACAGAUUUUUGUACAUCAGCAAAAGAUGCGCUCAAACUCUUAUCCAAGAAUUCAAGUCAUUUCACAUCUGUUAACUGCUUUGGAGACUUCAUAAUUUUUCUAGGAAAGGUGUUGGUGAUGUGUCUCACUGUUUUUGGAGGACUGAUGGCAUUUAACUACAAUCGUGCCCUCCAGGUGUGGGCAGUCCCUCUGCUGCUGGUUGCUUUUUUUGCCUACUUCGUAGCCCAUAGUUUCUUAUCUGUGUUUGAAACUGUGCUGGAUGCACUCUUCCUGUGUUUUGCUGUUGAUCUGGAAACAAAUGAUGGAUCGUCGGAAAAGCCCUACUUUAUGGACCAAGAGUUUUUGAGUUUUGUAAAAAGGAUCAACAAGUUAAAAGACACGAGGGCACAGGGGGAGGAGAACUCACUAAGGAACGAGGAGGGAACAGAACUCCAGCCCGUUGUGUGAUAGGUGCCCAUUAGAGUGUUGCCCCUGGAAAGUGUCCUUCUUCUAAGAGCCAUUCACAGAAUAAAUGGUUUCUCAUGUGCAAAAUGGAGAAAAUACCACCUACUUUGGAUUUAGGAGAGGAUUCAACAUAAGCAAUGUAAAAAGCACAGCGUAAUGUGGGCACCCUGGAGAGUUACAUGUGAGUACCUAUUAUGACCACAUACACUCUCCAGGCCAUCCAUUUCAGAAGCUCAUCACACAUUCAGCAGAACUUAUGCCGAGCAGUCCUUAAGGCCUGAAGUCUCAAAGAGCCAGCCACAAGUACAGUAACUCAUUUCUCCAUUUAUGCCAAGCAGACAGUCCAGGUUUAACUGGUAAAAAAGGAAACUUGAAUGGCUCCUAUACAAGACAAUGCCACAUGUGGCAGGACAUCUCAACUUUAGGUCACAAGGAGAAAGCUUUUUCAAACCUUAUCCCCCACUCCUGUUGGAUGUGAGCCCUGCCUGCUCUCCAGUGGUUAUGGGAACCUCCCUAUGAGGGGCUGAUUAUUUUUAACAAGGAAAUACUUCCAUCUUGCAUGGUGUUAGAAUGCUGGCAUUCUCACCAUGCUAGAGCCCCACCUAACUCCUCCUUAGAACACCAGAUCAUUUUACCUACCAAGUUUCAGAGGCAUUAGAAGGAGCAAUUUACUUGGAUCUGGAGCAAGAAAUAAACUUGCUAUAAUAAACAUAUCUCUUUUCUUCUGGUUAGACGGAAAGACCAGCUGUUCUGACUGCCAACACACCAUACUUGUGUUCCUAUAGAAAGGUCCUCUGAUUCUUUUGCUUUCUCAAAAAAACCAACUUUCCUGAAGGAAUGUACUUUAUACCAUACAAAAAAUACGUCCUUUGAACUUAGUUAAGUGUGGGAUGCCUGGGUGGCUCAGUUGGUUAAGCAUCCAACUUCAGCUUGGCUCAUGAUCUCACUGUUCCUGAGUUCAAGCCCCACAUCAGGCUUCCUGCUGUCAGCACAGAGCCCUAUGUCCCCCCCGCCUCGCUCCCUCUCUAAAAAUUAAACAUUAAAAAAAGAGUAAGUUAAGUGCUAAUUUAAAUGAUCCUUCUCUACUCUUUUCUCCAAGUAUAAAAAGGCACUGCUUACCUGGCU